GGGUAACUCUGUCGGUUGGUUGUCGUUUAUAACACACAUUGAUAGCCUUCUUUUUUCAAUUUCAAUACCCUCUGCUACGAUGAUGUUAAUGCUGUCCCUUAGCGCUUAAUAACUUUAGCCUGGCUCCAGUUUACCAUAACAUCUUGUUUGUAGCUUUUCAUAGCCAAGGCAGUGCUUGUUCUUCCCUUAGAAAUGUCCAGUUUAUGUUCUUCUAUUCUCUUUUUUAAGUUUCGUUUUGUGCUGCCGAUGUAUCACCGUGUGCGUUUUUCGUCGUUGUUAUAUAAGGGAAUGGCAUAUAUUCCGGCUUUUCUAUCACCCAGUAUACAGUCCUUGUCAUUUCUCAUCAGAUCAAAUACCGUGUGGCCUCUUUUUCUGACCACUACACACUGCUCG
This 393-nucleotide long non-coding RNA is filed under the name Androctonus crassicauda. Lineage: Eukaryota; Metazoa; Arthropoda; Arachnida; Scorpiones; Buthidae. The record is from RNAcentral.